UACAGAGGUCUCGAGCGUUAGGCGGAAUCACUGGGCUUAAAGCGUGUGUAGGCGGACUGGUAAGUACCUUGUGAAAUCCCACGGCUCAACCGUGGAACUGCUUGGUAUACUGCUUGUCUUAUGCAACCUAGGGGCGAGCGGAACAGAUGGUGGAGCGGUGAAAUGCGUAGAUAUCAUCUGGAACGCCAAUGGUGAAAACAGCUCGCUGGGGUUGUGCUGACGCUGAGACACGAAAGCCAGGGGAGCGAACGGG
Molecule: ribosomal RNA, 253 nt
Filed under: uncultured bacterium
Lineage: Bacteria
Description: partial 16S ribosomal RNA
Rfam family: Bacterial small subunit ribosomal RNA
Source: RNAcentral